Molecule: ribosomal RNA, 480 nt
Filed under: Alternaria infectoria
Lineage: Eukaryota; Fungi; Ascomycota; Dothideomycetes; Pleosporales; Pleosporaceae
Description: eukaryotic LSU rRNA
Rfam family: 5.8S ribosomal RNA (bases 124-277)
Source: RNAcentral
GAACCUGCGGAUAUGCAUAUCAAUAAGCGGAGGAAGAUUCCGUAGUGGAACCGGCGGAUCUCCGUACCAAUCACAAACAGUUAUGCAAUAGCAAUCAGCGUCAGUAACAACGUAAUUAAUUACAACUUUCAACAACGGAUCUCUUGGUUCUGGCAUCGAUGAAGAACGCAGCGAAAUGCGAUACGUAGUGUGAAUUGCAGAAUUCAGUGAAUCAUCGAAUCUUUGAACGCACAUUGCGCCCUUUGGUAUUCCAAAGGGCAUGCCUGUUCGAGCGUCAUUUGUACCCUCAAGCUUUGCUUGGUGUUGGGCGUCUUUUGUCUCCAGUUCGCUGGAGACUCGCCUUAAAGUCAUUGGCAGCCGGCCUACUGGGUUUCGGAGCCAGCACAAGUCGCGCUCUUUGCCAGCCAAGGUCAGCGUCCAGCAAGCCUUUUUUUUCAACCUUUGACCUCGGAUCAGGUAGGGAUACCCGCUGAACUUAAG